CCCAUCUCUAGAAACAUUUUUUUUAAAUUAUCCAGGUGUGGUGGUGCACGGCUGUAGUUGCAGCUACUCAGGAGGCUAAGGCAGGAGAAUCACAUGAAUCCAGGUGUUUGAGGCUGCAGUGAGCCAUGAUCACACCACUGCACUCUAACCUGCAUGCAGAGUGAGACUCUUUCUCAAAGAAAAAAAAAAUUUAGAGGUGAUGGUAGUAACAAUAUUGUUACCACUACUACAAAUACGUUACAAAGAUAGUAAAAUAUUGACAGUGUUUAAGUUGGAUGAUAGGUACUCAGGGGUUUAUUAUCAAUUCUUUGUACUUUAUGUUUGAAAUUUUCCAUGAUCAAAACAAUUACAUUUUAAAAAAUAAAUGCUUGAAGGAAAAAACUCUUUAAAGAAGAAGGUGACUCAUUAGAAUGAGAAAGAUUGGCCCCAGUUUAUCUCUAUUUUAAGGUCAGGUUUCCAUUCUGGAUUUGUAUAACAUGGGAUAGACUGAAUGAAUAUGUUGUAAGAUGCCCAUGAACAGUGACGUGUGCCGUAGUUCACUUCUAUGUCCCACUGUAGUUCAGGAUAGUACCCCAGCCCUUAUUCUAUCCUACAGCAAGUGUGUCUCCUUGGGCUAGUGAGAGCAGGAUUAAAUUUGGUUCUCUGCAUGACCCACCCCCCACCCUCCCCCACUAACAUGUUUUUCUAAUUUAUUUUUUUUAUUCAUGUGGCUGUUUAUUAUCACUAUGUGCCAUGCAUUAUACAAACUAUUCCAAGACAGCCUGGGCAACCUGGAGAAACCGUGUCUCUAUUAAAAAAUAAAAAAAUUAGUCAGGUGUAGCGGUGUGCACCCAUAGUCCUAGUUACUUGGGUGACUGCAGUGGGAGGAUCACCCGAGUCCGAGAGGUUGAGGCUGCAGUGAGCUGUGAUUGCGCCACUGCACCCCAGCAACCUAACCCCCAACCCCCCCCCCCCCCACAAAAAAACACCAAAAUAUUUCAAGAGCUCUGAGGAGCUGAUAAUUGAGGUUGGUGGGGAGGGAGGGGGAAGGGAGGAGGAGGGAAGGUUGUGCUAGAGACAUUUACAUAAGUAACUGUAUUACAAGGUAGAAGUGGGUAAGUACUAUAAGGGAAUCUCGAGUGUUGGAGAAUUGGAGGAGAAUCACAAGGAAUGUUAUAGUAUGGGAAAGUGGCAUUCCAGCUAAAUCGUGAGGGGUGCUGUAUUCAUGUGAAUGACGGGAAGGAGUAUUCCUGGAGAGGGGAAGAGCAAAUGGAAAAGCACGAAGCAACUCUGACAUAUGGAAGUUCUUGAGAUCGACAAUGGCUGACUACAGGAGCUAUCUGGAAAUGCCACAAAGCAAUUUUUUCCCCUAGAAAUACAUGUGCACAGAAAGAACCAUCCAGCUUGGCGUCAAGGUUUACUAUGCUUUCCACAGUUCCUGCUGUCUGGAAGGGCCAUAAAGCAUGGUCUCACUAGUUGAGACUAACUGGGAGUAUCUGAAUUGUUAAAAAAUCAAAAUUACCGGAACUUUAAAAAAAAAAAUGCAGUUUUGUUGCUUUAAGGAAAGACAGUUCCAACACACUUUUGUGAAGACAUCCUGCCAGAACGAUUGUAACGAUUGUAACGAAUGGAAAGCAGCUCUGAUGAUCUCAUUCAUUGGCUGAAUGUGAACAGCCCCUCCCCAUCCUCCUACUCUGCCUUUUUCCCCCACCUAACAUUUGUCAGGAACUGAAAUAGUUAUUGCCUCAUCCACCAGAAUGUAAGCUCCCGUGAGGGCAUGAGAUUUACUCCUCUCUUCCCUAAACCCUGAAAUAUUCUUUUUACUUUAUUAAUUUGAAUAUUUAAACUACAGGAAGGGGCCAAGUGCAGUGGCUCAUGCCUGUCAUCCCAGCACUUUGGGAGGCUGAGGCAGGUGGAUCACCUGAGGUCAAGAGUUCGAGACCAGCCUGGCCCUCACGGUGAAACCCUGUCUCUAUUAAAAAUACAAAAAUUAGCUGAGCAUAGUGCCAUGUGCCUGUAGUCCCAGCUACUCAGGAGGCUGAGGCAGGAGAAUCACUUCAACCAGGGAGGCAGAGGUUGCAGUGAGCCGAAAUUGUGCCACUACACUCCAACCUGGGUGACAGAGUAAGACUCUGUCAAAAAAAAAAAAAAAAUUUACUGAAAGGGACUUUAGAUAGCUACACCAAUCAGAUUCUAAUUCUUGGGAAAUCAACUUGAGAAAUUCAGAGAAAAUUAGGCAGUUAGUGGCAGAAGAUAAGGCUGAAGAGAUAUGCAGGUUGGAAUUAUGAAUUAGAAUUAAGUCAACUUAAUUAUAUAUAUAGUUACUAAGUCUAUUAAUAGCAGGGGAAUAAAAAUAAUAAUAACCAGAGCAGUUAACAUUUUCUGAACACCUGAUCAGUGUUCGGAAUGUGUUACCCAAGCAACCGUGAGGAAGGUAUUAUUAUUAAGCCCAUUUUACAGAUGAGGAUAUACAGAGUGAUUCAUUUGUCCAAAUCCACACAGCUAAUGGGUGGCAAGGUGGAAUUUGAACCUAGGUGAGCUAGAUCCAGCAUCCAGGCUGUUAACCUGGUCCCAAGAAAGAAUCUUUGACUCUAGGCUGCUGCAGUUCUAAAGCAGAAUAGGAAGCAACUCCCCUUCCUGAGGCCCUGAUAUAGCUCAGUUUCCAUUCUUAGAUUCUUGCGAGUUGUUUUCCAUAUGACUUCAUAGUUAUUUAUCUUUUUAGUAACUUCCUUUUUCAUCAAAUAGCUUGAAUUCUUACAACCAAAAGAACCUAGUUAGAACACCUUGAUUUUAUACUUCUCUUGAAGCCUGUUUUAUGUAAUCACACAUCACCCAGAAAAAAAAUAUCCAACU
RNAcentral lists this long non-coding RNA (2832 nucleotides) under Homo sapiens (human). RNAcentral describes it as "HSALNT0343727". Lineage: Eukaryota; Metazoa; Chordata; Mammalia; Primates; Hominidae. The record is from RNAcentral.